RNAcentral lists this long non-coding RNA (1160 nucleotides) under Trifolium pratense (red clover). RNAcentral's name for it is "long non-coding RNA (TPRA_LNC000446)". The record is from RNAcentral. Lineage: Eukaryota; Viridiplantae; Streptophyta; Magnoliopsida; Fabales; Fabaceae.
AGCAUCCGAAAGAUCACUCCAAUUUUCAGCCAACAAAUCCUUAAGAACACUGUAAAGCUCGGGGUCUUUUAUGUCAGGAAUGUGGGUCACUUCUUUACUAUAAAACCUCAUGCUCCCUAUGCCAUUCGAGAAAGGAGACCUGCAUUCUGUGAAUGUUUUUUCGACAAAACACAUUCACCAUAUAAUACAUAGUCAGAUGUAGCUUCCCUAAAGUCAGCAUUUCACUUUACUUAAAGUAGUCUCAACCAAUAAUAAGAAAAAUCAAAAUCAACUGUCAAUUUUACAUGGAAAUGCAUAACAAAUCAUCAUAUAAUGGAAUAUCAGUAAUUUAUUUUCUCCAUGAAACACAGACACGACACUUAUUUGCAGCUUAUAGCACUAACACUUAUCAUGAUAAUAGCUUAUCUAUAAACUGUUCUCAUAAGCACUUAUCAUGAUAUCACUUAAAAGAUAAAAUAAAGUUAAUUAUUUUCUUUCCGUAUAAGCUAUAAACUAUUUUCACAAACUAUCUUGGAGAACUUAUAAAAAUAAGCUGAAAACAACUUAAGAACAAUGUUGUAGGUUGUUUUGAUAAGCGCUUUUAAACAGACUCGCAAAACUUAUGUCACUAAAUAAACUCAAAUAAGUCGAUCCAAAAAGGUCCUGAUAGUGAAAAUGGAAAUGAUUGUAUGUAACCAUAUAUCGUGUCCAAUACUGACAUGUGUCCCACACCAGACUCGUCUUCAAUAUAAAGUGUCGAUACUACAAUUUUGUCAUCAACAGUACACAUAACGUAUUCCUAGGUGCAAAAUUAAAAGCCAUACCAGACAUAGCCUAGCUUAAUGCUACAAAAUUAAUAGACUACAAAGCUCAACAUUUUAUUUAUUUAUUUAUUUAUUAAACUUCAAUCUAAGACAAGUAGAGGUUUGAAUAUGAGGGAUCAAAAUAUGAUUAAUAAUGAAUUGUUGUAAAUCUGAAUAUAUAAUAGAAUUGAGAAAAUUGGUAGAGAGAGAGAGAGAGUACCUGAGGAGGAGGAGGAGGGAGAGAGGGGAUUGGGAAAGCGAAGGGAAGAGAAGGUGCGGUGGGUGUUGGUGGAUGAAGCGGCGGCGAUUGCAUGAGAAUAAUGAGAUCUGGAAGAGUUGAGUGAUCGGAGGAAUAAGGAUCUUAAUCCCAUCAUCAUC